ACGGAGGAAUAUAUACCAAUCACAUGGUUCAAAGGAGGCGACUUUCCUUUGCCCUGUCUCUCUGGUCCAUCUGCUGCUUCACUGCCUAGUACCUUUAACUGUAUGUUUGCGGCCAGUUAAGGAGACUUGAGAAAAAAAUUUCCCAUGCAUGAUUUCAGAGUCGAAGCUCAUGGUUCAAUCAUUGACGUCAGCUUGGCUGCUUACUUCAUUGUAAAUGCCUUUCACUGUUCGAUUAUUUUUUCUGAAGAUGCCUGCAAGUGAGAUAGAUGGUGAAGGAAUCAGAGCUGAUCUUGAGGUCUCUGAUGCCACUGUUGUUGCAACAUGUUUGGUUCUCGCAAUUCAAUCCCUGAUGAGCUUCAGAAAUUGGUCGAGGUCAAGGUCGAGACAGGGAUAUAUUAAAGGUGAAAUGGAUGCCAUAUCUUCUUGCAGCCUGUUCUCAAAGUUCUUGUUUACAAAUGCAAGAUAUGGAUUAUUUUGAUUCACAGGAGAUAAUGACAUUUCUUGACAAUUCUAGAACAGUCCAUCUGAGUUCUUUUGUCAGGCUGCAUCAUUUAACCCCAGCACAAGUCCAGUUUCUUCUAAGCAAUCAUUCGUGACAAAAUUGCAGCUUCAUUGCUUCAAAUACCCAAAUUUGUGUCCAGCAUGAUCCUCGUAUUUCUAAUGUGGCUGCACACCGAAUUGCACAGAUUGUAGCUUUGUAGCGGUUUCUUUGCCGUCUAUUGAAUGCAGCACUUCCGUGGAUCAUGGAUUGUAUUCACAACAAUUGUCCUGUUUCGCUUGAUUGUCCUUGAUCAUAAUUGUAUUUUGUCUGCAUACCGAAAUCAUAGUUGAUGCAGCAGGAACUAAUACUUUUAAGUUUUAAGUUGAUAUCCCCCUACAAUUAUAAAAAUAAUGAUGAUCAUAUUCAGGGGCUCUAGAAGGCAUGGGCAGCAAAGUAACAGUACAAUUAUAAACCCAAUUGAUUUUCA
Non-coding RNA from Prunus avium (sweet cherry), 968 nucleotides. NCBI's taxonomy places the organism in Eukaryota, Viridiplantae, Streptophyta, Magnoliopsida, Rosales, Rosaceae. The record is from RefSeq and is a predicted model, not a curated record.